AUAUUUUUCCGUUUAAGGAAUAAAAUAUAAAAUAAUAAUAUAAUAAUAUAACAAUUAAACAUAAAAUAGUCAUGUAUAUGAUAAUAGUGCAAUUUAUUAAAUGUUUAAUUUAUAGAUAAUGCAGAAAAUACUUCAGGAGAUUUGUCAUGUCAUAUUUGCCAACAAGAGAUAAACUCAGUUACCAUCUAUCCCUGUGGUCACAAUGUAGGAAACUAUUGCGCAAAUAAAUUCUCAAGAGGUGACGUAGAAUGUCCUUUUUGUAAAAGAAAGAUAGAAAAUUUUGGAAACUUAUAUACUUUGACAGAUUAUGAAUUUGAAAAACAAAGCCCGUUCCGAUUACGUGUCCUCACUGAAAACGAAACAAAUAAUUUAAAGUCUAAAAUUCAGAAUGACAUGACUGACGAGGAAUUUAUGGCUCGUUUUUGGUACCUUCGACGUUGCCAAGAACCUGCUAAAUCUUUGCUGCUGGACAUUAGACGUCAUAUUAUAACUGAUGAGGAUCGUAUAUAUAUCGCGGAACUAAAAGAGAAACUUUUAUCAGGCGAAAUUUCAGAAAUUGAUGUGUACAAAAAUCAUUUUAAACAAGAAUUAAUUGAUAAAGAAUGUAUUAUGCUAUGUGCAUUUUAUACAGGAUUCCAAAAUAAUUAUAUACAAUACGAACUUAACAUACGAAAGAAUUACCUUGAUUUCGUUUAUACGUAAUUAUUUAUAGAUUUCCUAAAUUAGUUUUCAUGUAAAACAUUUUCACAAAAAUUUUUUAGUUAAUGAUUUAUUGGUUUGUUGCUUAUCAAUGUGUUAUGUUUCUUCGAUGAAUAAAAAACUUAUUAAACAAAAAUGUAAAAGAAACAAAAAAAAAUAUCGUCAAUGUCUGUAUUUAUCAAUAAAUCGAUGUAAAGCUAAAGAA
This is a long non-coding RNA of Daktulosphaira vitifoliae (grape phylloxera), 904 nucleotides long. RefSeq lists it as uncharacterized. The record is from RefSeq and is a predicted model, not a curated record. NCBI's taxonomy places the organism in Eukaryota, Metazoa, Arthropoda, Insecta, Hemiptera, Phylloxeridae. The transcript is spliced from 3 exons.